UACGGAGGAUCCGAGCGUUAUCCGGAUUUACUGGGUUUAAAGGGUGCGUAGGCGGGCCCCUCAGUCAGCGGUGAAAGUCUGCGGCUCAACCGUAGGAUUGCCGUUGAUACUGGGGGCCUUGGAUUCGGUCGGGGCGGGCGGAAUGCGUGGUGUAGCGGUGAAAUGCUUAGAUAUCACGCAGAACGCCGAUUGCGAAGGCAGCUCGCCGGGCCGAAAUCGACGCUGAGGCACGAAAGCGUGGGGAUCGAACAGGAUUAGAUACCCUGGUAGUCCACGCCGUAAACGAUGAUGGCUGGAUGUUGGCGAUACACCGUCAGCGUCUGAGGGAAACCAUUAAGCCAUCCACCUGGGGAGUACGGCCGCAAGGCUGAA
Molecule: ribosomal RNA, 372 nt
Filed under: uncultured bacterium
Lineage: Bacteria
Description: bacterial SSU rRNA
Rfam family: Bacterial small subunit ribosomal RNA
Source: RNAcentral